This is a long non-coding RNA of Pieris brassicae (large cabbage white), 2120 nucleotides long. RefSeq lists it as uncharacterized. The transcript has 2 exons. The record is from RefSeq and is a predicted model, not a curated record. NCBI's taxonomy places the organism in Eukaryota, Metazoa, Arthropoda, Insecta, Lepidoptera, Pieridae.
AGUAAAACCUAAAAAAGUUCUCUCUUAAUAAAUAUUGUUGUUUGAAAAGUAUUUUGUCAUACUCCUAUACAAAGUUUCUUUACAACUAUCCUUCGCUUGAGUCGUUAUGUCUGACAACCCCAAUGGCAUAACAUGAAAUAUUUUUUCUGUUGCAAUAAUUAAUGUAAUCUUAUACGGUAAUAAGAGUUUUGGCCUAGUGGCUUCAGCGUGCGACUCAUUCCUGUGGUCGUAGUUUCUAUCCUCGGUUGUAGAGUAAUUGACUUUCUUUUUAUGUGCGCAAUUAACAUUCGUUUGUACGGGCAGGAAAACAUCGUAAGAAAACCAGCUUGCAGUAGACCCAAAAACUUGAUCGUAUGUCAGGCUGAUCGCCUACUUGUCUAUUAGAUGGACUAAAAAUCAUUAAACAGAUGCAUAAAUCUGAGGCCCAGACCUAAAGAGGUUGUAGCGCCACUGAUUUUUAUACGCAAUGUGCCUUUACAGUUAAAUGUUUAUGGGCUGCGAUUAAUGUGUUACUUAUUUAAGUUACAGUGGUUACAACUGUUCAUCGUUAUAAAUACUCACAUGAAAGUUCGUUUCAACAAAUUACGGCUGCAUGUUCGCAAUGAAAUUUGCUGAAAGCGAAAAAAUCUGAAGUUUUAAGUGCAACUUUGACGUUGAUUUCAAUUGGAUCAAUAGUAGAAGUUUGCUAUGUGUAGUCCAUUAAAGCAUUUAGUUGAACAAUCCCCAGUGUUGCCAACUUGUUGAUUAUUGCUGACUCCCAUAAAUCUACUCUACUACGAUUAUAACAGACAUGUUCUAUUGAAUAUUUGGCUGUUAUUGCUUUAAAAUUCAUUUUAAUUAAAAAACACAUCUAUGUCUUGAUCUUUAACGUUCAUGUUUUUUCUUUAAAAUAUUUUAAUAUACGGAAAAAAUAAUAUUAUAAUAUAUCAACUAUAUUUUGACUCGUACCUAUUAAUGCUAAUAUUAAAAAUACUGAAUUUUUAUGUAAGUUUUUUUGAUUCCGCAUUUAUUCAGAAAAACAACUCACAUAACAUCCAAUGUUAAAUGGUUAAAAAUUAAUCAUCCAUAGAUAAUUCGAAUUUUCUAGAUUUUAAUUUAAAUCUUGCACGUUCCCGACUCAAUGAUCUAACAAUGCAUUUCAUUACGUCGAUUUCACGCCUCAAUCCAUCACGGCUUGCCAUUUCAAUACAGUCGCAAUAAACCUACACGGUUAAUAUGGUACUUAAAAUUAUUUUUAUCGUCACGUGCGAAUUAUUAAUAACCUAUGGAAACGCAAGAAUAAUUAUGCUGCGAAAUUUAGAUUUCAAAACAAACGGUGUACCUCAAACACUGAAAAUAGAUGAAACGCCUCAUGUUAAUUUGACUAAAAAAUCUGAAGAACGAGUUUCUAGUAGGACUCAAGAAGUUUCCACAGAAAAGGAUAUAAGUGAAGAGAAGUUACAAAAGUCAACAGCGGACCCAAUGACAAGAAGAACUUCGAAAAAAUAAAAUUGAUGUUAAAGGAAAUAAAGAAAAUGUUGAAAAAGGAAGCGAAAACUACGGGAGUAGAAAAUGAUUAUUUUAAAUCGUACGUGCCUAUAAGUGAAGAUGUCGAGAAUCCAGAGCCUCGAGGUAUGGCGAGGACCUCCGCCAAUUUUGUGGAUGGAUUAAAUCUUAUUAAUAGAGGCAGGAAGAUACACGACAUUGUCUAGACUAUUAUUCAGUAUUAAUAAUCAUAAUUACAUGUAGGUAAUAUAAUUUUGUUUUAUGUUCAAUUUUUAACUUUUUUUAUUGCGCUCGCAAACGAGCUGGAGGCCCAUCUGUUAAGUAAUACCGCCGCCCGUGGACACUCUCAAUGCCAGAGGGCUCGCGAGUGUGUUUCCGGUCUUUUAAGAAUUUUUAACCUUUUUUCUUGAAGAACCCUGAGUAAAGUAAGUAUCCUUUGGAAGUGCGCCAAUUGACUUAAUUUUAAAGCAUUUAUAUAUUGAAUAGCUAAUUGUUAAUUUUUUCAUGGCAAGAAGCCUUUAGCGUCGGCGAGUAUUUAGACCAUAAGUUUUUAACAAUUAUAAAUAAGUCAACUUAUUAUUAUGACAAUAUGUUAAUGUUCUUAUUAUAUGAUAUUAAAAUUAAUAUGACAUUUC